This 558-nucleotide ribosomal RNA is filed under the name uncultured Methylobacterium sp. Its description in RNAcentral is "bacterial SSU rRNA". It matches the Rfam family "Bacterial small subunit ribosomal RNA", at positions 102 to 694 of the family's 1533-position model. Lineage: Bacteria; Pseudomonadati; Pseudomonadota; Alphaproteobacteria; Hyphomicrobiales; Methylobacteriaceae. The record is from RNAcentral.
ACGGGUGAGUAACGCGUGGGAACGUGCCCUUCGGUUCGGAAUAACUCAGGGAAACUUGAGCUAAUACCGGAUACGUGCGAGAGCAGAAAGGUUUAUCUGCCGAAGGAUCGGCCCGCGUCUGAUUAGCUAGUUGGUGAGGCUAUGGCUCACCAAGGCGACGAUCAGUAGCUGGUCUGAGAGGAUGAUCAGCCACACUGGGACUGAGACACGGCCCAGACUCCUACGGGAGGCAGCAGUGGGGAAUAUUGGACAAUGGGGGCAACCCUGAUCCAGCCAUGCCGCGUGAGUGAUGACGGCCUUAGGGUUGUAAAGCUCUUUUCUCCGGGACGAUAAUGACGGUACCGGAGGAAUAAGCCCCGGCUAACUUCGUGCCAGCAGCCGCGGUAAUACGAAGGGGGCUAGCGUUGCUCGGAAUCACUGGGCGUAAAGGGCGCGUAGGCGGCUGAUUUAGUCGAGGGUGAAAGCCCGUGGCUCAACCACGGAAUGGCCUUCGAUACUGAUUGGCUUGAGACCGGAAGAGGACAGCGGAACUGCGAGUGUAGAGGUGAAAUUCGUAGA